Molecule: non-coding RNA, 88 nt
Filed under: unclassified sequences
Description: RAGATH-10 RNA
Rfam family: RAGATH-10 RNA
About the family: RNA motif Associated with Genes Associated with Twister and Hammerhead ribozymes (RAGATH).
Source: Rfam by way of RNAcentral
GAAACCUCAUCUUGCUCAAGCGCCAUCCGGGCGCCAGGGCAGUGUUUUUUGUAAAACACGAACAGUUCCGUUCGGAUGAGGAGAGAGG